This 489-nucleotide ribosomal RNA is filed under the name uncultured bacterium. RNAcentral's name for it is "bacterial SSU rRNA". It matches the Rfam family "Bacterial small subunit ribosomal RNA", at positions 30 to 511 of the family's 1533-position model. The record is from RNAcentral.
AUUGAACGCUGGCGGCAGGCCUAACACAUGCAAGUCGAGCGGAUGAGUGGAGCUUGCUCCAUGAUUCAGCGGCGGACGGGUGAGUAAUGCCUAGGAAUCUGCCUGGUGGUGGGGGAUAACGUUCGGAAACGGACGCUAAUACCGCAUACGUCCUACGGGAGAAAGCGGGGGGAUCUUCGGACCUCGCGCCAUUAGAUGAGCCUAGGUCGGAUUAGCUAGUUGGUGAGGUAAUGGCUCACCAAGGCGACGAUCCGUAACUGGUCUGAGAGGAUGAUCAGUCACACUGGAACUGAGACACGGUCCAGACUCCUACGGGAGGCAGCAGUGGGGAAUAUUGGACAAUGGGCGAAAGCCUGAUCCAGCCAUGCCGCGUGUGUGAAGAAGGUCUUCGGAUUGUAAAGCACUUUAAGUUGGGAGGAAGGGCAGGUAAGUUAAUACCUUGCUGUUUGACGUUACCAACAGAAUAAGCACCGGCUAACUUCGUGCCAG